AAUAGAUACCCAGGUAGUCCACGCCGUAAACGAUGAAUACUAGGUGUAGGAGGUAUCGACCCCUUCUGUGCCGCAGUUAACACAAUAAGUAUUCCGCCUGGGGAGUACGAUCGCAAGAUUAAAACUCAAAGGAAUUGACGGGGGCCCGCACAAGCAGCGGAGCAUGUGGUUUAAUUCGAAGCAACGCGAAGAACCUUACCUAGACUUGACAUCUCCUGAAUUACCCUUAACCGGGGAAGCCCUUCGGGGCAGGAAGACAGGUGGUGCAUGGUUGUCGUCAGCUCGUGUCGUGAGAUGUUGGGUUAAGUCCCGCAACGAGCGCAACCCUUAUCAUUAGUUGCUACCAUUAAGUUGAGCACUCUAGUGAGACUGCCACGGUUAACGUGGAGGAAGGUGGGGAUGACGUCAAAUCAUCAUGCCCCUUAUGUCUAGGGCUACACACGUGCUACAAUGGUGAGUACAAAGAGAUGCAAUACCGUGAGGUGGAGCCAAACUCAAAAACUCAUCCCAGUUCGGAUUGUAGGCUGAAACUCGCCUACA
This 540-nucleotide ribosomal RNA is filed under the name uncultured bacterium. RNAcentral's name for it is "bacterial SSU rRNA". It matches the Rfam family "Bacterial small subunit ribosomal RNA", at positions 777 to 1320 of the family's 1533-position model. The record is from RNAcentral.